CUUUUACUUUUAUUAUAAAUUUAUAUACCGCUAUUUAAAGAACUAAUCUACCAAUUCUAUUCAAAAUAUAUACAUGCGAACUAAAAAAAUAAGUCAAGGUGUAAUUUAUAUUCAAGUAUAUUAUGGGUUACAAUAAAAAUUAUUUAUGGAUAAAUUUUUAAAAACAAAUUUUUAAAUAGGAUUUAUAAGUAUUUACUUCAAUAAUA
This 206-nucleotide ribosomal RNA is filed under the name Paratrochosina amica. Its description in RNAcentral is "partial small subunit ribosomal RNA". The record is from RNAcentral. Lineage: Eukaryota; Metazoa; Arthropoda; Arachnida; Araneae; Lycosidae.